GUUCCUUCAGGGACAUCUGAUAAAUUUGGAAUGAUACAAAGAAGAUUAGCAUCGCGCCUUGCCUCUGCGCAAGGAUGACACGCACAAAUCCAGUCUUCUUCU
Small nuclear RNA from Lotus japonicus, 102 nucleotides. NCBI's taxonomy places the organism in Eukaryota, Viridiplantae, Streptophyta, Magnoliopsida, Fabales, Fabaceae. The record is from RefSeq and is a predicted model, not a curated record.